CCUACGGUGGGCAGCAGUAGGGAAUCUUCCACAAUGGGCGAAAGCCUGAUGGAGCAACGCCGCGUGGGUGAAGAAGGUCUUCGGAUCGUAAAACCCUGUUGUUAGAGAAGAAAGUGCGUGAGAGUAACUGUUCACGUUUCGACGGUAUCUAACCAGAAAGCCACGGCUAACUACGUGCCAGCAGCCGCGGUAAUACGUAGGUGGCAAGCGUUAUCCGGAUUUAUUGGGCGUAAAGGGCACGCAGGCGGUCUUUUAAGUCUGAUGUGAAAGCUUUCGGCUUAACCGGAGUAGUGCAUUGGAAACUGGGAGACUUGAGUGCAGAAGAGGAGAGUGGAACGCCAUGUGUAGCGGUGAAAUGCGUAGAUAUAUGGAAGAACACCAGUGGCGAAAGCGGCUGUCUGGUCUGUAACUGACGCUGAGGUUCGAAAGCGUGGGUAGCAAACAGGAUUAGAUACCCGGGUAGUC
Molecule: ribosomal RNA, 465 nt
Filed under: uncultured bacterium
Lineage: Bacteria
Description: partial 16S ribosomal RNA
Rfam family: Bacterial small subunit ribosomal RNA
Source: RNAcentral